This 310-nucleotide ribosomal RNA is filed under the name Sesamia sp. SEKEG3812. RNAcentral describes it as "partial 16S large subunit ribosomal RNA". The record is from RNAcentral. Lineage: Eukaryota; Metazoa; Arthropoda; Insecta; Lepidoptera; Noctuidae.
CUGUCUCUUAAAUAAAAAUAGAAUUUAAUUUUUUAAUUAAAAAGUUAAAAUAAUCUAAAAAGACGAGAAGACCCUAUAGAGUUUUAUAAAUAAAUUGAUUAAGAUUAUUAAAUAAAAUUAAAAUUAAUUUAUUUAUUAUAUUGGGGUGAUAGAAAAAUAUAUUUAACUUUUUUUAUAUAAAAAACAUUUAUAAGUGAUUAAAUGAUCCAAUAUUAUUGAUUAUAAGAAAAAAUUACCUUAGGGAUAACAGCGUAAUUUUUUUUUUUAGUUCACAUAAGAAAAAGAGUUUGCGACCUCGAUGUUGGAUUAA